UUCGCAAUGCCCGAAAGGGUGACGAAGCGACGCCGCGUGUGGGAAGAAGGCCUUCGGGUUGUAAACCACUGUUGGGAGUUAGGAAGUGUGGAGGUGUUAAUAGCGCUUUCACUUGACUAAAGCUCCAGAGGAAGCCACGGCUAACUCUGUGCCAGCAGCCGCGGUAAUACAGAGGCGGCAAGCGUUGUUCGGAAUUAUUGGGCGUAAAGAGCACGUAGGCGGUCUUGCAAGUCAGUUGUGAAAGCCUUCCGCUCAACGGAAGAAUGCUAGCUGAUACUACAAGGCUAGAGUGCGGAAGGGGAGAGUGGAACUUCUGGUGUAGCGGUGAAAUGCGUAGAUAUCAGAAGGAACGCCGGCGGCGAAAGCGGCUCUCUGGUCCGUAACUGACGCUGAGUGUGCGAAAGCUAGGGGAGCAAACGGGAUUAGAUACCCCGGUAGUCCUAGCCGUAAACGAUGGGCACUAAGUAGAGGGGUUUU
Molecule: ribosomal RNA, 477 nt
Filed under: uncultured anaerobic ammonium-oxidizing bacterium
Lineage: Bacteria
Description: bacterial SSU rRNA
Rfam family: Bacterial small subunit ribosomal RNA
Source: RNAcentral